Molecule: ribosomal RNA, 465 nt
Filed under: uncultured bacterium
Lineage: Bacteria
Description: partial 16S ribosomal RNA
Rfam family: Bacterial small subunit ribosomal RNA
Source: RNAcentral
GACGAACGCUGGCGGCGCGCCUAACACAUGCAAGUCGAACGAGCGAGAGAGAGCUUGCUUUCUCGAGCGAGUGGCGAACGGGUGAGUAACGCGUGAGGAACCUGCCUCAAAGAGGGGGACAACAGUUGGAAACGACUGCUAAUACCGCAUAAGCCCACGGGUCGGCAUCGACCAGAGGGAAAAGGAGCAAUCCGCUUUGAGAUGGCCUCGCGUCCGAUUAGCUAGUUGGUGAGGUAAUGGCCCACCAAGGCGACGAUCGGUAGCCGGACUGAGAGGUUGAACGGCCACAUUGGGACUGAGACACGGCCCAGACUCCACGGGAGGCAGCAGUGGGGAAUAUUGCACAAUGGGGGAAACCCUGAUGCAGCGACGCCGCGUGGAGGAAGAAGGUCUUCGGAUUGUAAACUCCUGUUGUUGGGGAAGAUAAUGACGGUACCCAACAAGGAAGUGACGGCUAACUACGUG